UACGUAGGGGGCAAGCGUUGUCCGGAUUCAUUGGGCGUAAAGAGCGUGUAGGCGGCCAGGUAGGUCGGUUGUGAAAACUGGAGGCUCAACCUUCAGAGGUCGACCGAAACCAUCUGGCUAGAGUCCGGGAGAGGAGAGUGGAAUUCCUGGUGUAGCGGUGAAAUGCGCAGAUAUCAGGAAGAACACCCGUGGCGAAAGCGGCUCUCUGGAACGGUACUGACGCUUAGACACGAAAGCGUGGGGAGCGAACCGG
This 253-nucleotide ribosomal RNA is filed under the name uncultured bacterium. Its description in RNAcentral is "partial 16S ribosomal RNA". It matches the Rfam family "Bacterial small subunit ribosomal RNA", at positions 524 to 776 of the family's 1533-position model. The record is from RNAcentral.